RNAcentral lists this ribosomal RNA (467 nucleotides) under uncultured bacterium. RNAcentral describes it as "partial 16S ribosomal RNA". It matches the Rfam family "Bacterial small subunit ribosomal RNA", at positions 28 to 507 of the family's 1533-position model. The record is from RNAcentral.
GACGAACGCUGGCGGCGUGCUUAACACAUGCAAGUCGAACGGAAAGGCCUCUUUCGGGGGGUCCUCGAGUGGCGAACGGGUGAGUAACACGUGAGUAACCUGCCCUUUACUUUGGGAUAACUUCAGGAAACUGGGGCUAAUACCGGAUAGGAGCUCCUGCUGCCUGGUGGGGGUUGGAAAGUUUCGGCGGUUGGGGGUGGACUCGCGGCUUAUCAGCUUGUUGGUGGGGUAGUGGCUUACCAAGGCGUUGACGGGUAGCCGGACAGUGGGGGUGACAGGCCACACUGGGUCUUAGAUGAGACAGAAACGCGUACGAGAGGAAGCUAUGCGGAAUCUUGAACCAUGGGUGGCGGCUGGAUGCAGCAGGGCUGCGUGCUGGAUGACCGCCUUGGGGUUGAAAAACGCCUUCGCUCUUGUCGAAGCUUUGUGUGACGGUAGUGGGUGAAGAAGCACCGGCUAACUACGUG